UACGUAGGGGGCUAGCGUUGUCCGGAUUUAUUGGGCGUAAAGAGCGUGUAGGCGGCCAGGUAGGUCCGUUGUGAAAACUCGAGGCUCAACCUCGAGACGUCGAUGGAAACCAUCUAGCUAGAGUCCGGAAGAGGAGAGUGGAAUUCCUGGUGUAGCGGUGAAAUGCGCAGAUAUCAGGAAGAACACCCGUGGCGAAGGCGGCUCUCUGGUACGUGACUGACGCUGAGACGCGAAAGCGUGGGGAGCGAACAGG
Molecule: ribosomal RNA, 253 nt
Filed under: uncultured bacterium
Lineage: Bacteria
Description: partial 16S ribosomal RNA
Rfam family: Bacterial small subunit ribosomal RNA
Source: RNAcentral